GACGAACGCUGGCGGCGUGCUUAACACAUGCAAGUCGAACGAAGAGCGAUGGAAGCUUGCUUCUAUCAAUCUUAGUGGCGAACGGGUGUGUAACGCGUAAUCAACCUGCCCUUAUGAGGGGGACAACAGUUGGAAACGACUGCUAAUACCGCAUACGAUCUGACCUCGGCAUCGAGGAUAGAUGAAAGGUGGCCUCUACAUGUAAGCUAUCACUGAAGGAGGGGACUGCGUCUGAUUAGCUAGUUGGAGGGGUAACGGCCCACCAAGGCGAUGAUCAGUAGCCGGUCUGAGAGGAUGAACGGCCACAUUGGGACUGAGACACGGCCCAGACUCCUACGGGAGGCAGCAGUGGGGAAUCUUCCGCAAUGGACGAAAGUCUGACGGAGCAACGCCGCGUGAGUGAUGACGGCCUUCGGGUUGUAAAGCUCUGUUAAGCGGGACGAAAGGCCUUUUUGCGAAUAGUGAGAAGGAUUGACGGUACCGGAAUAGAAAGCCACGGCUAACUACGUG
RNAcentral lists this ribosomal RNA (510 nucleotides) under uncultured bacterium. RNAcentral describes it as "partial 16S ribosomal RNA". It matches the Rfam family "Bacterial small subunit ribosomal RNA", at positions 28 to 507 of the family's 1533-position model. The record is from RNAcentral.